AGAGUUUGAUUAUGGCUCAGGAUGAACGCUGGCGGCGUGCCUAAUACAUGCAAGUGAAACGGGUAUCUUCGGAUACCAGUCGCGGACGGGUGAGUAAUACAUAGGCAACCUGCCUUUAUGAGGGGGGAUAACCGAGGGAAACUUUGGCUAAUACCGCAUGAAGACUCUAAGGCAUCUUAGAGGGAUAAAAGUUGGGAAACAACGCAUGAAGAUGGGCUUAUGGCGCAUUAGCUAGUUGGUGAGAUAGAAGCCCACCAAGGUAAUGAUGCGUAGCCGACCUGAGAGGGUGAACGGCCACAUUGGGACUGAGACACGGCCCAAACUCCUACGGGAGGCAGCAGUAGGGAAUUUUCGGCAAUGGGGGGAACCCUGACCGAGCAACGCCGCGUGAAGGAAAAGAAGGUUUUCGGAUUGUAAACUUCUGUUAUAAGGGAAGAACGGAUUGGAUAGGGAAUGAUCUGAUAGUGACGGUACCUUAUUAGAAAGCCACGGCUAACUACGUGCCAGCAGCAGC
RNAcentral lists this ribosomal RNA (514 nucleotides) under uncultured bacterium. RNAcentral describes it as "bacterial SSU rRNA". It matches the Rfam family "Bacterial small subunit ribosomal RNA", at positions 8 to 518 of the family's 1533-position model. The record is from RNAcentral.